This 249-nucleotide signal recognition particle RNA is filed under the name Deltaproteobacteria bacterium. RNAcentral describes it as "signal recognition particle sRNA large type". It matches the Rfam family "Bacterial large signal recognition particle RNA". From Rfam's summary of the family: The signal recognition particle (SRP) is a universally conserved ribonucleoprotein involved in the co-translational targeting of proteins to membranes. Archaeal SRP consists of a 7S RNA and homologues of the eukaryotic SRP19 and SRP54 proteins. In most bacteria, the SRP consists of a 4.5S RNA and the Ffh protein (a homologue of the eukaryotic SRP54 protein). The record is from RNAcentral. Lineage: Bacteria; Pseudomonadati; Myxococcota; Myxococcia.
UUGUGCUAGGCGGGGAGUUAGCGGUGCCCUUUUCCCGAAAACCGCUUACGCGGGGCUGAAUUCCCUCUGGAGGAUUUCAUUCCGAUAAACGUUAAGUUAUUUUGAGCGGCCGCCGCGCAACAGACGGUCAUGAACCUCGUCAGAUCCGGAAGGAAGCAGCGAUAAGUGAUUUAGUCUGUGUCGCGGAUUGUUCCCGUUCAUGUAUUUAACUUAUGUUUUUCCGGGAUUCAUUCGAUAGAGGGUGCACAA